This 71-nucleotide transfer RNA is filed under the name compost metagenome. Its description in RNAcentral is "tRNA-Glu". It matches the Rfam family "tRNA". From Rfam's summary of the family: Transfer RNA (tRNA) molecules are approximately 80 nucleotides in length. Their secondary structure includes four short double-helical elements and three loops (D, anti-codon, and T loops). The record is from RNAcentral.
GGCCCCAUGGUCAAGCGGUAAGACGUCGGCCUUUCACGUCGGAGUCACCAGUUCAAAUCUGGUUGGGGUCA